RNAcentral lists this ribosomal RNA (246 nucleotides) under uncultured bacterium. RNAcentral's name for it is "partial 16S ribosomal RNA". The record is from RNAcentral.
CUGCUGCCUUCCGUAGGAGUCUGGGCCGUGUCUCAGUCCCAAUGUGGCCGUCCACUCCCUCAAGCCGGCUACUGAUCGUCGCCUUGGUGAGCCGUUACCUCACCAACCAGCUAAUCAGACGCGGGUCCAUCCCAUAGCGAUAAAUCUUUGAAGAAAAGAACAUGCGCUCUCUCCUUGUUAUGCGGUAUUAGCAGCCGUCUCCAGCUGUUGUCCCCCUCUAUGGGGGCAGGUUGCCCACGCGUUACU